AUUGAACGCUGGCGGCAGGCUUAACACAUGCAAGUCGAGCGGAGAUGAGGUGCUUGCACCUUAUCUUAGCGGCGGACGGGUGAGUAAUGCUUAGGAAUCUGCCUAUUAGUGGGGGACAACAUUCCGAAAGGAAUGCUAAUACCGCAUAUGUCCUACGGGAGAAAGCAGGGGAUCUUCGGACCUUGCGCUAAUAGAUGAGCCUAAGUCGGAUUAGCUAGUUGGUGGGGUAAAGGCCUACCAAGGCGACGAUCUGUAGCGGGUCUGAGAGGAUGAUCCGCCACACUGGGACUGAGACACGGCCCAGACUCCUACGGGAGGCAGCAGUGGGGAAUAUUGGACAAUGGGGGAAACCCUGAUCCAGCCAUGCCGCGUGUGUGAAGAAGGCCUUAUGGUUGUAAAGCACUUUGAGCGAGGAGGAGGCUACUGAGACUAAUACUCUUGGAUAGUGGACGUUACUCGCAGAAUAAGCACCGGCUAACUCUGUGCCAGCAGCCGCCGUAA
Molecule: ribosomal RNA, 501 nt
Filed under: uncultured bacterium
Lineage: Bacteria
Description: partial 16S ribosomal RNA
Rfam family: Bacterial small subunit ribosomal RNA
Source: RNAcentral